UUUUCCUUUUCUCCCAGGGCCGGGGUGAGGUUCAGCUGAUGCUCUCCCAACUUUUCUCUGGACAAAAGGAGAAAUCCAAAGCCUCCCUUAAAGCAGCUUUCUUACUUCCUCGCGGGUUUCCCGCCAGAGGACCUGCAAGGAGCUUGGACCUCAAUCUUUCUAAUUAAAGGGUGUUGACAGAGGUCAGCGGGUGGCAGCGAGAUAAAGGACAUGUAAGCUCUGUGUUGGGUGAAACGAGCAGGGGCCACAUGAGUA
Pogona vitticeps (central bearded dragon) is the source of this 255-nucleotide non-coding RNA. Lineage: Eukaryota; Metazoa; Chordata; Lepidosauria; Squamata; Agamidae. The record is from RefSeq and is a predicted model, not a curated record.